This 28-nucleotide small RNA is filed under the name Bombyx mori (domestic silkworm). RNAcentral's name for it is "ovarian small RNA-21304". Lineage: Eukaryota; Metazoa; Arthropoda; Insecta; Lepidoptera; Bombycidae. The record is from RNAcentral.
UACUAGUGAAUUAAUUUAUGGGUCUGAC